RNAcentral lists this unclassified non-coding RNA (421 nucleotides) under fungal sp. Its description in RNAcentral is "partial internal transcribed spacer region". The stretch from base 1 to 46 matches the Rfam family "Eukaryotic small subunit ribosomal RNA", at positions 1786 to 1831 of the family's 1831-position model. The record is from RNAcentral. Lineage: Eukaryota; Fungi.
AAGUCGUAACAAGGUUUCCGUAGGUGAACCUGCGGAAGGAUCAUUAACACGUAUCCAAACGUUAAAACCCCCCCCGUGAACUUUCAAUCCUGCUCUUGUAACCCGCGUAGUUCCGCAAUCUCUGGUAAAUCAUAGCCCGGAAAGUUGUUUUGAUUCAGAGACCUCUGGCUACGUGAGAACAAUGGAACAGUUACAAUCGAGCGGUAGUUUCAUAGGCAUUGUUUCCCCAAGCAGUCAGUGUCGGAAAGUGUCAUUGAUUGUGCAAGGAUAGCGCUUUUCGAUCACUAGAGGCCGACACCGGCCGGUGACCAGGUCGCCGUGGCUUCGGCCCCCUAUAUUAACCCCACUACCUGAUUCCGCCUCGUAGGAAACUGCUGGGCAACAAAACGAACAACUGUUAACAAUGGAUAUCUUGGUUCUC